CAUAGUAUCUAGACUCUUCAAGAUAUGAUUUUAAUUUUCUUGGGUAAUGAUGCCUUAAAUAUUUAGGUUUAUCAAAAUAAAUAUUUUUAAUGUCCACAAUUUUUAAAAUGUGUUACAAAGUAGAAAUGAAAGAUCUGUUUUGCACUGUCUUUGAACAAGUUGCUCAUCCAGAAUCUCGCUGAUGUGUACUACUUUGCUUUGAUGUAAGACUGCUUAAAUGCUCCUCUGUUCCACAGCUUUGAUCUAGGAGGUUGUCUACAUGUGGAGUUAUUCAGGAACAAGGCUCUCUUAUUUUGGAAAAAGUGUAUUCACAUAUGUAGUUAUCUGGAAUAGUAGCAUGACUAGACAAACCUUAAAUGUGUAUUUACUGAUGCCUACUCCCUCAAAUAUUGUUAUUCUGGAGAAUUUCCCCUUAAACUUUUUAAAACUUGUGUAUAUUAGUCACUAAAUUUCAGUUAAUAACAGUACAUUUUAUUCUAUCUACUCAAUGAAGAUCAAAUUCUGCCAAACUGUCUUAAAUCCAUAGAUUAAAAGUAAUCAAGCGAUUAGAUAUUUGAUACAUAGUUAUUAUUCGAAUUGUGGUAGCACUUAUAGUCCCCAAUGACAUGAAGCCACUAUUCUUCUAGGUGAAGUAAAAACACAUAAUGAGAGAGUAAUCACAUUCCAUACAGAAUUUUAGUACUAUAUUACUGUUUGACUCUCCUUUAAUAAUGAAUGAUCUUUCUGUGGAAGUUUACUUUGUCUUGAUAUUUCCAGCAGCAGUUCCAAAUAGAGCAAUAAUAGUAUUCUAUUAUAGCAGGGGAGUGGUCACGAUUUGCUUAGUUAAAAUUAUGUAACAUUUUCCAUUAUAACUGACUUUUCAGUUGUUUCAGUUGGUUGAAAACUUCCUAUGUUCUGGCUGAGCCUAAAGGCUGACUUGUUUUUGUAAAGUUGAGUCAGAAUGUUUCCUCUGUUUUUCUGAGCAUGACCAGAUUGGUGAAAGAAUUGGAAAACGUACCUUUUUACUCAAAGAACUGUUGUGAUAAUUGGACCUACAAAUUUACUCGUUAGCUCAACUGUAAAAAGUGAGUGUAAGUUCAUGAGAUGUCACAAUAACCUGUAACAACAAAUAUUAACGUGAAGAGGUGCAAAAGUGAGACAGACUGAAUUAGUCCAAACAAAAAAGUCUCCUGAUAUGACUCAGGGACUGUGUUAAGAUCAUGUCUGGUAACAAGAGAAGUGUAGAACCAGAAUUGCUGUGUAUAAAACUGAGUCUAAUUGGUGGACAAAAUAAUGAGGGGAUGGGCUAUUCCACCUAUCAUUCCCUUUGGGGGUCCUUAAAGAAAGCUUUUGGGAGAAAAAUUGGUUACUGGAACGACAUUCACCAUCAUGGCUGCCAUCCUCCCACCCUUGGGUCUCCUUGGACUCACGAUUAGGAUGAAGACAGUCCAGAGAGAGAGAUCCUGAGCAGACCAGGCCAGGAAGAAGGAACCAAAUAACAUUGCUACCUCCACUGGCUUAGGCUGAAUCCCAAAUACCAUCUGAGAUGUGAGACUCUUUCUCACCCUCACCCCACUUGUCUUCUUUUUCCUUCCCUAACUGAUUUCUUCUCUUUUACUAUUCUUUUCCCAUCUCUCUAAAAAGAGUCUGGCUUAGUCUGCUAAGACUGUAUUUUACAACACUGCUAUAAGCCAGUGACUAGCAAGAAGCAGCUAAAAGCGAUGCCUUAAAUAGCCUGAUUCUCGUAUGAGUUUGCCAGGCCUGAGAGUCGCUGAUAAGACUGUGCUGUGCUUGUGUUUCUCCAGCAGUAAGGUUGCAAGUGAAAGUCAACACCAGAGAGACAAGCUGCAGCUUCUAUCUUUGAGGUUCUUUUUCUCUCCCCUUGUGUGUGUUCCUUGUUUUGUCGUCUUAGGAAACAGGAUUCGAUUUAACAACAACAGCAAUAACGACAGCUCCAGCCUAUCUCUACUAAAUUCUUAUUUCCCCAAAAGGAGAGUUAUUACUAUCUUUAAUACCACCUAAAAGAUUGUCAAAUAAGGAUUUUUUUUCCUUCUUAAAAAGUGUCCAGCUAAAGGGAACAAGAGAGCAUGUUAAAAUGAAAGUCGUUUUUAAUACUUUACUUUGACUGUUUUCCUACUUUUCUGUAUCGUUAAUAAAAAGUUAGGAAUUUGAAUAGUCUGUUUGCCAUGGUUCUAAGCAGGCUGAGGUCUCUGUAUACCAAAUCACCAGCCUGGUUUAAAACUGUUUAAUGUUGGACAGUGAUUGGGUUAUAUUGACACCUUUAACUGUUUGGGCUCAUAUAUUCCAUCUAAAUUAUUGUAACAGUGCUCAGUCUCUUUAAUUUAACAAAGAGAAGGUCUAUAGGUACCAACACGAGGGGAAGAAAUUUGACAAAGGGCUUUCUGUUCUGGUGGACAAAGAUAUAACAAGAUCUAAUGAUUGGAAAUGAAACUAGACAAACUCUGACUAAAAAAUAUGGUGCACAUUUAUUACAGUAAGAGUAGCCAUUUGAACAAUUUGUAAAUGGUUGUGGUGGAUUUGUAGUUACCGGAAAUCUUCAAAUCAAGACUGUAUUUUUUUCUAAAAUAGAUGCUGUAGUUCAAACAGGAAUUAAUUUAAGGAAGUCCUGUGGUGUGUUUAUAUUGGCCAGUGGGGUGGUGAUGGUGGUCAGCCUUGUUGAUCACAGUGAUUCCUUCUGGCCUUAUAAUCUCUGGGGAAAAAUGGGAGUGUGAAAGGAAUACAUGUUUUGGGCAAUGCUACUGCCUAAACAGAUAAAUUGGAAGCUGAAAUUUGGUAUGAAAUUAGUUUCUACUGAAGAGAAGUCUCAGCCUUAUUUCAGCAGAUACAGACUUUGAUUUCACUAUUUUCUAGAUAAUUGAAACUGGGUUCUGACCACGUGCAGUAACUUUUUGUUAAGUGUGCACUGAAGAAGGUUGCUGGCAUGUGCUUGUGCAUUAAGUUAGAUUCACAAUGUACAGUCCAAUCAAUUUAGGCUCUGAUCCUACAGACACUUAAGCAUGCACUUAACUUUAAGUAUGUGUGCAAAUAUAUGCAGGAUUGGGGCCUUAGAGUCAGGGCUGAAGCAAAAACUUUCAUAUACAGUGUAUGGUAAUUUAGGGGCUGAGAAAGGGUUCCAACUGAUCUUGAAAAGUACACAGUGCAAACAAAAGCUCCCCUGGAUCCUAUAUGGUGCACGAGAUUAUGUGGGAGCUGGAUUGUGGUAAUUUCAGUGCACUGUUUGCAAUUUGUUGGAAACCUGCAAAACUUGAAGUCAUACAGCCUGAAGACUCUAUAGAAAAACUUUUUUUAAUAUUAAAUAUGAUGAUGAAUAGACUUCAUUGGGCCCUGUUGCUGUUGAGCUGGCAUACAGGAAUAAAAUAAAUAAAAAAAAUAUUAUAGAACACUUUAUUAUGAAGCUUCUGUAGAAAAUCUUUUUAAAAACAAAUAUCUUCCCUCUUCUCUCCUAGUAAUUCAAUUCUAAAAACAAGUUGAGACCAUUAAGGCUGCAUGUUUAAGCACUAAACCUUCAUGAAAUACCACAACAAAGGAUGCAUGUGAAACUUUCAUUCUGUUCCAUGUGAGGAUGCAUUACAAUAGUCCUUAAUUACAUAAUUUUUUCUACAACCUUAGCUGCAUGGGUAAAGUAUCUGUAGUAUUGUGUGUGCUAGAGUCCAUGAACAUUUUUAUGAAAAGUACUCAGAACACUAAUUAAGACAAUAUAUUACAGAUUAAGUACAACUGAGAAUAAUAGGGAAAAUGUGCUGCCAUUUAUAGGGUUUUAAAAUGUAAUUACAGCAUUAAGUCAGGCAUCAGUUCAGGAAAACAGUUAAACACAUUAACUCUACGAGGGGUCCUACUGAAGGCCAAUGAGACUAUUUAUUUGCCAAAGUUACCAGUAAGUACUUACUUAUUUGCUAGAUUACUAGAGAACUGGGUCCUGAUCCUGUACACAAAAUGAUAUCAGUGGGAUACUUGUGUGUGUAAAUGUUUGCAGGUUGGGGCCUUAGUUCAUUAAUGUAUCUUACAGUAAGUACAGUGUUACUACAGAGGAGUGAGGUUCUUGAACAGCCUUCUAAUAUUAGUGGGGACAAACAACCUAGCUAGUUUUGAAAUGGAACUUGUUAAGUUUAUGAACAGGAUUACAUGACUGUGUUGCCUGUGUUAAACACCCUUGCCCAUUGAGGUAGAUGUUGGAGUUCACAAAACAAGCCCUUCAGACUUUUUCCUUUUAGUAAAACUAGUGAACACCAGACUUGACAUUCCUAAUAUUUUUAAGGGUAAAGAAAAGAAACAGAUUUGGGGGCCUUCUUUAUACAUCUUAGAAAAACAAAAUUAGAUGCAAGCCCAUUUUAAAAUAAAUCAUAGCAGGAUCACCUUUAACUUUCAUUUUUGUUGCUCUCCACUGGACUCUUUCCAAUUUUUCCAAAUCCUUCUUGUAGUGUGGGGUCCAAAACCGGAUACAGCACUCCAGAUGAGGCCUCACCAAUGCUGAAUAGAGGGGAAUGAUCACAUCCCUCAAUCUGCUGGCAAUGCUCCUACUGAUGUACCCCCUAUAUCCACAGUAGGUUAUCAACCUCACUUGGCAGGUCUUCAGUGGUCAUACAACCAAAAUGAAUCCUUUCUGGGAUAGGCAGUUUUGUUAUACCUUUGCUAUCUGCCCUCACCAGCAUCUUUUACCCUGGCUCUGGGCCCUUUUAAAUUAAGCCCUUUGCUCAGGCUUCCAAAUAAGACUAGUUCCCCCUCUCACUUCUCAUGAUUUACACCACUUUGCCAGUGGGGGAACCCAGGAAUGCCCAUUGUUCCAGGUUCUAACCCAAGGACCCUAUAAACAGCAGCCACAUACUGCAGACUUCAGUUCAUUGCUGCUACUUCCCUGGACCUCUUCUCACCAGGCCUCUUUAUCUUCUCCCUUUACCUUGGGGUUUAAGUUCUCAGGUCUUCUCUCUUCCAGCUUCAGCUUGUCUACCCGGGGGGAUCGCUCUAAGCUACGUGAAUAACAUAGGUGAAGUCAACAUACUUAGAUCAACUUACCGUGGUGUCUUCACCAUGGUGAGUCGACUGCUGCCGCUCCCCCGUCGACUCCUCCUGUGCUUCUUGCAGUGAUGGAGUACAGGAGUCGAUGGGAGAGUGCUUGGGGGUCAAUUUAUCGCAUCUAGACUAGAUGUGAUAAAUUGAUCCCUGCUGGAUCAAUCGCUGCCCGCUGAUCUGACAGGUAGUGUAGACAUACCCUGAGGGCUUGGCUACACUGGAGAGUUGCAGCACUGGUGAUGGGGUUACAGUGCUGCAACUCACUCUGUGUCCACACUUGCAAAGCACAGCCAGUGCUGCAACUCCCUGGCUGCAGCGCUGGCUGUACACCUGGUCUGCUUGGGGUGUAGCGAUUCCAGCGCUGGUGAUGCAGCGCUGCUCAUCAAGUGUGGCCACCAAAAGCGCUGUUAUUGGCCUCCAGGGCAUUAGGGGGUAUCCCAGCAUACCUUUUCAGCCACUCUGCUCAUCGUUUCGCACUCCACUGCCCUGGGCUCAGGUGACCCGCUCUUUAAAUGCCCCGGGAAUUUUAAAAAUCCCCUUCCUGUUUGCUCAGCCAGGUGUGGAGUGCAAUCAAUCAAUCAAUCACUGACCAUGCCUCCAUGCCCCAAACGAGCCCCAGCAUGGAACACUUGUGAGCUGCAGGACCUCAUCAGUGUUUGGGGUGAGGAAGCUGUGCAGUCACAGCUGCGCUCCAGUUGUAGAAAUUACGAUACCUAUGGCCAGAUAUCAAAGUCCAUGUUGCAAAGGGGCCAUGAACGGGACGCAUUGCAGUGCAGGGUUAAAGUAAAGGAGCUGCAGAGCGCCUAUUGCAAAGCCCGUGAGGGAAACCGCCGCUCAGGAGCUGCCCCCAUGACCUGCCAUUUUUACAAGGAGCUGGAUGCGAUACUUGGGUGUGACCCCACUGCCAAUCCGAGGACCACGAUGGAGAGUUCAGGGCAGGGAGAAGAGGGGGAGGGUGUAGAGGAAACCGAGAGUGAGGCUACUGGGGUGGAGGGAGACACCCUGGAGUCCCAGGAGGCAUGCAUCCAGGAGCGUUUCUCAAGCCAGGAGGAAGCUAGCCAGUUGCAGCAGCUGGAACUUGUUGGUGAAGAAGAAGCAGAGGAGCGGGUUCCCGGUAAGCAGCUUUUAUUUUAAGGAUGGAAAUGUUUUGGGAGAGGAGUGGGGGGGUUAUGGCUGCAUGCAUACAUGUCUAGAUGUGGAAUAGCCCAUUGAUUUGGUCUAUCACGUCUCGGUCAUCGGCCUCGGUAAUCUCUUCAAAAGUUUCAGCCAGAGCGUGGGCAAUGCGCUUGCGCAAGUUUAUAGGGAGAGCCACCGUGGUCCUUGUCCCAGUCAGGCUAACGCGUCCCUGCCACUGUGCCGUGAGGGGUGGGGGGACCAUUGCUGCACACAGGCAAGCUGCAUAGGGACCAGGGCGGAAUCCACAUUGCUGUAGAAGACCCUCCUGCUCUUCCCAGGUAACCCGCAGCAGCGAUAUAUCUGGCAGUAGAAAAUCCUGUUGAAAAUGUAGGGAUAGUGUUCAGUGCAGGUCCCCCCCCAGCUGCUCUCUGCUUUCCCCAAUGCACAGAAACCCCAGUGAGCCCUAACUCAAGCAGCUCCCCUUCCCAGUGUCCUUGAAUCCUCUGGCCCUAUCACAGCCUGCUGAAAGACUACAGAACUUGAGGCGGAAACCAAGGAAAAGCAAAGAAGAUUUGGUGAAAGCAGUUAUGAAUCAGUAUGCCAGAGAGAAUAAGAGGCUGCAGGACUAGAGAGUGAAAAUGCAUCAGUGGAGGGAAACACAAAGCAGGAGAAAGGAAUUGGCUACCAAGAAAAGCACAAAGCAGCUGAUGAGCCUCCUGGCACGCCAAACGGACUCGUAGCCAUGCAGGCAGAUCACUACCAUGCUAACCCCCCCAACUCCCAAAGCUCUCUCCCUUGUGCCCCAGUGUUUGCUCAAAACCCACUUCUCCAGCAUCCUGGUUCUUACCACCACCAGCUGCCCCCAACACCUGUACGUUCACCUACCAGCCCUGAGAACGACGACCCUUACCCUAUGCACUCAACCCCCAUCACCAUGCAGCAUAUUAAUCCUGAAGUGCAGCAGGCAUUGCACAGCAAUCCAGGCAGGACAUAUUCAAACCUCUGAAUGUACAGUUCAGCCCCCUGCCCUUUUAUGUACUGUAUUUUGAAUAAAUGAUUUCUUGGCUUUUAAAACAUUUUUUAUUAUUGCAGAAACUGAAAAAUACUGUACCACAAGGGAAAAACAGGCACUGCAAAUCAUUGUAACCACUGCCCUUUACUCCC
This is an RNA transcript of Gopherus flavomarginatus (Mexican gopher tortoise), 7287 nucleotides long. It is a transcript of the gene named zinc finger and SCAN domain-containing protein 20-like, with no coding region annotated. The transcript is spliced from 2 exons. Lineage: Eukaryota; Metazoa; Chordata; Testudines; Testudinidae. The record is from RefSeq and is a predicted model, not a curated record.